Molecule: ribosomal RNA, 2541 nt
Filed under: Klebsiella pneumoniae
Lineage: Bacteria; Pseudomonadati; Pseudomonadota; Gammaproteobacteria; Enterobacterales; Enterobacteriaceae
Description: 23S ribosomal RNA
Rfam family: Bacterial large subunit ribosomal RNA
Source: RNAcentral
GUGAACUCGAAGAGUAGGGCGGGACACGUGGUAUCCUGUCUGAAUAUGGGGGGACCAUCCUCCAAGGCUAAAUACUCCUGACUGACCGAUAGUGAACCAGUACCGUGAGGGAAAGGCGAAAAGAACCCCGGCGAGGGGAGUGAAAAAGAACCUGAAACCGUGUACGUACAAGCAGUGGGAGCACCUUCGGGUGUGACUGCGUACCUUUUGUAUAAUGGGUCAGCGACUUAUAUUCUGUAGCAAGGUUAACCGUAUAGGGGAGCCGCAGGGAAACCGAGUCUUAACUGGGCGUUAAGUUGCAGGGUAUAGACCCGAAACCCGGUGAUCUAGCCAUGGGCAGGUUGAAGGUUGGGUAACACUAACUGGAGGACCGAACCGACUAAUGUUGAAAAAUUAGCGGAUGACUUGUGGCUGGGGGUGAAAGGCCAAUCAAACCGGGAGAUAGCUGGUUCUCCCCGAAAGCUAUUUAGGUAGCGCCUCGUGAACUCAUCUUCGGGGGUAGAGCACUGUUUCGGCUAGGGGGUCAUCCCGACUUACCAACCCGAUGCAAACUACGAAUACCGAAGAAUGUUAUCACGGGAGACACACGGCGGGUGCUAACGUCCGUCGUGAAGAGGGAAACAACCCAGACCGCCAGCUAAGGUCCCAAAGUCAUGGUUAAGUGGGAAACGAUGUGGGAAGGCACAGACAGCCAGGAUGUUGGCUUAGAAGCAGCCAUCAUUUAAAGAAAGCGUAAUAGCUCACUGGUCGAGUCGGCCUGCGCGGAAGAUGUAACGGGGCUAAACCAUGCACCGAAGCUGCGGCAGCGACACUAUGUGUUGUUGGGUAGGGGAGCGUUCUGUAAGCCUGCGAAGGUGUGCUGUGAGGCAUGCUGGAGGUAUCAGAAGUGCGAAUGCUGACAUAAGUAACGAUAAAGCGGGUGAAAAGCCCGCUCGCCGGAAGACCAAGGGUUCCUGUCCAACGUUAAUCGGGGCAGGGUGAGUCGACCCCUAAGGCGAGGCCGAAAGGCGUAGUCGAUGGGAAACAGGUUAAUAUUCCUGUACUUGGUGUUACUGCGAAGGGGGGACGGAGAAGGCUAUGUUAGCCGGGCGACGGUUGUCCCGGUUUAAGCAUGUAGGCUGNUCCAGGCAAAUCCGGAUAAUCAAGGCUGAGGUGUGAUGACGAGGCACUACGGUGCUGAAGUAACAAAUGCCCUGCUUCCAGGAAAAGCCUCUAAGCAUCAGGUAACAUCAAAUCGUACCCCAAACCGACACAGGUGGUCAGGUAGAGAAUACCAAGGCGCUUGAGAGAACUCGGGUGAAGGAACUAGGCAAAAUGGUGCCGUAACUUCGGGAGAAGGCACGCUGGUGUGUAGGUGAAGUCCCUGCGGAUGGAGCUGAGACCAGUCGAAGAUACCAGCUGGCUGCAACUGUUUAUUAAAAACACAGCACUGUGCAAACACGAAAGUGGACGUAUACGGUGUGACGCCUGCCCGGUGCCGGAAGGUUAAUUGAUGGGGUUAUCCGUAAGGAGAAGCUCUUGAUCGAAGCCCCGGUAAACGGCGGCCGUAACUAUAACGGUCCUAAGGUAGCGAAAUUCCUUGUCGGGUAAGUUCCGACCUGCACGAAUGGCGUAAUGAUGGCCAGGCUGUCUCCACCCGAGACUCAGUGAAAUUGAACUCGCUGUGAAGAUGCAGUGUACCCGCGGCAAGACGGAAAGACCCCGUGAACCUUUACUAUAGCUUGACACUGAACAUUGAGCCUUGAUGUGUAGGAUAGGUGGGAGGCUUUGAAGCGUGGACGCCAGUCUGCGUGGAGCCAACCUUGAAAUACCACCCUUUAAUGUUUGAUGUUCUAACGUUGGCCCCUNACCGGGGUUGCGGACAGUGUCUGGUGGGUAGUUUGACUGGGGCGGUCUCCUCCCAAAGCGUAACGGAGGAGCACGAAGGUUAGCUAAUCCUGGUCGGACAUCAGGAGGUUAGUGCAAUGGCAUAAGCUAGCUUGACUGCGAGCGUGACGGCGCGAGCAGGUGCGAAAGCAGGUCAUAGUGAUCCGGUGGUUCUGAAUGGAAGGGCCAUCGCUCAACGGAUAAAAGGUACUCCGGGGAUAACAGGCUGAUACCGCCCAAGAGUUCAUAUCGACGGCGGUGUUUGGCACCUCGAUGUCGGCUCAUCACAUCCUGGGGCUGAAGUAGGUCCCAAGGGUAUGGCUGUUCGCCAUUUAAAGUGGUACGCGAGCUGGGUUUAGAACGUCGUGAGACAGUUCGGUCCCUAUCUGCCGUGGGCGCUGGAGAAUUGAGGGGGGCUGCUCCUAGUACGAGAGGACCGGAGUGGACGCAUCACUGGUGUUCGGGUUGUCAUGCCAAUGGCACUGCCCGGUAGCUAAAUGCGGAAGAGAUAAGUGCUGAAAGCAUCUAAGCACGAAACUUGCCCCGAGAUGAGUUCUCCCUGAGACUUUAAGUCUCCUGAAGGAACGUUAAAGACGAUGACGUUGAUAGGCCGGGUGUGUAAGCGCAGCGAUGCGUUGAGCUAACCGGUACUAAUGAACCGUGAGGCUUAACCUU